RNAcentral lists this ribosomal RNA (481 nucleotides) under uncultured bacterium. RNAcentral describes it as "partial 16S ribosomal RNA". It matches the Rfam family "Bacterial small subunit ribosomal RNA", at positions 28 to 507 of the family's 1533-position model. The record is from RNAcentral.
GAUGAACGCUGGCGGCGUGCUUAACACUUGCAAGUCGAACGAAGCAUUUGCGACAGAUUUUUUCGGAAUGAAGUUGCUUAUGACUGAGUGGCGGACGGGUGAGUAACGCGUGGGUAACCUGCCUUGUACUGGGGGAUAGCAGCUGGAAACGGCUGGUAAUACCGCAUAAGCGCACAAUGUUGCAUGACAUGGUGUGAAAAACUCCGGUGGUAUAAGAUGGACCCGCGUCUGAUUAGCUAGUUGGUGAGAUAACAGCCCACCAAGGCGACGAUCAGUAGCCGACCUGAGAGGGUGACCGGCCACAUUGGGACUGAGACACGGCCCAGACUCCUACGGGAGGCAGCAGUGGGGAAUAUUGCACAAUGGAGGAAACUCUGAUGCAGCGACGCCGCGUGAGUGAAGAAGUAAUUCGUUAUGUAAAGCUCUAUCAGCAGGGAAGAUAGUGACGGUACCUGACGAAGAAGCUCCGGCUAAAUACGUG